Molecule: long non-coding RNA, 226 nt
Filed under: Mytilus galloprovincialis (Mediterranean mussel)
Lineage: Eukaryota; Metazoa; Mollusca; Bivalvia; Mytilida; Mytilidae
Source: RNAcentral
AUACAUAAAUAACAACAGACUACUAGCAGUUAACUGACAUGCCAGCUCCAGACCUCAAUUAAACUGAUUGAAAGAUUAUGUCUUCAUCAUAUGAAUAUCAGGUACAACCCCUCCCGUUAGGGGUUUAGUAUCAUACUAUCAUAAAAUAUAUGAGAAGAACAUAACCCGUGUCAUGCCAACAACUGUUUUUUUUAAGAAAUAAAUGUGUUUAGUUCCGAUGCAAAGA